GGGGGACCAUCCUCCAAGGCUAAAUACUCCUGACUGACCGAUAGUGAACCAGUACCGUGAGGGAAAGGCGAAAAGAACCCCGGCGAGGGGAGUGAAAAAGAACCUGAAACCGUGUACGUACAAGCAGUGGGAGCACGCUUAGGCGUGUGACUGCGUACCUUUUGUAUAAUGGGUCAGCGACUUAUAUUCUGUAGCAAGGUUAACCGAAUAGGGGAGCCGAAGGGAAACCGAGUCUUAACUGGGCGUUAAGUUGCAGGGUAUAGACCCGAAACCCGGUGAUCUAGCCAUGGGCAGGUUGAAGGUUGGGUAACACUAACUGGAGGACCGAACCGACUAAUGUUGAAAAAUUAGCGGAUGACUUGUGGCUGGGGGUGAAAGGCCAAUCAAACCGGGAGAUAGCUGGUUCUCCCCGAAAGCUAUUUAGGUAGCGCCUCGUGAAUUCAUCUCCGGGGGUAGAGCACUGUUUCGGCAAGGGGGUCAUCCCGACUUACCAACCCGAUGCAAACUGCGAAUACCGGAGAAUGUUAUCACGGGAGACACACGGCGGGUGCUAACGUCCGUCGUGAAGAGGGAAACAACCCAGACCGCCAGCUAAGGUCCCAAAGUCAUGGUUAAGUGGGAAACGAUGUGGGAAGGCCCAGACAGCCAGGAUGUUGGCUUAGAAGCAGCCAUCAUUUAAAGAAAGCGUAAUAGCUCACUGGUCGAGUCGGCCUGCGCGGAAGAUGUAACGGGGCUAAACCAUGCACCGAAGCUGCGGCAGCGACGCUGAUGCGUUGUUGGGUAGGGGAGCGUUCUGUAAGCCUGUGAAGGUGUGCUGUGAGGCAUGCUGGAGGUAUCAGAAGUGCGAAUGCUGACAUAAGUAACGAUAAAGCGGGUGAAAAGCCCGCUCGCCGGAAGACCAAGGGUUCCUGUCCAACGUUAAUCGGGGCAGGGUGAGUCGACCCCUAAGGCGAGGCCGAAAGGCGUAGUCGAUGGGAAACAGGUUAAUAUUCCUGUACUUGGUGUUACUGCGAAGGGGGGACGGAGAAGGCUAUGUUGGCCGGGCGACGGUUGUCCCGGUUUAAGCGUGUAGGCUGGUUUUCCAGGCAAAUCCGGAAAAUCAAGGCUGAGGCGUGAUGACGAGGCACUACGGUGCUGAAGCAACAAAUGCCCUGCUUCCAGGAAAAGCCUCUAAGCAUCAGGUAACAUCAAAUCGUACCCCAAACCGACACAGGUGGUCAGGUAGAGAAUACCAAGGCGCUUGAGAGAACUCGGGUGAAGGAACUAGGCAAAAUGGUGCCGUAACUUCGGGAGAAGG
Molecule: ribosomal RNA, 1297 nt
Filed under: Escherichia coli
Lineage: Bacteria; Pseudomonadati; Pseudomonadota; Gammaproteobacteria; Enterobacterales; Enterobacteriaceae
Description: partial 23S ribosomal RNA
Rfam family: Bacterial large subunit ribosomal RNA
Source: RNAcentral